UGGCUCAGCUGGUAGAGCAUGGUGUUUGCAAUGCCAGGGUUGUGGGUUUGAUUCCCAC
This 58-nucleotide transfer RNA is filed under the name Salmo salar (Atlantic salmon). It matches the Rfam family "tRNA", at positions 8 to 63 of the family's 71-position model. From Rfam's summary of the family: Transfer RNA (tRNA) molecules are approximately 80 nucleotides in length. Their secondary structure includes four short double-helical elements and three loops (D, anti-codon, and T loops). Further hydrogen bonds mediate the characteristic L-shaped molecular structure. tRNAs have two regions of fundamental functional importance: the anti-codon, which is responsible for specific mRNA codon recognition, and the 3' end, to which the tRNAs corresponding amino acid is attached (by aminoacyl-tRNA synthetases). tRNAs cope with the degeneracy of the genetic code in two manners: having more than one tRNA (with a specific anti-codon) for a particular amino acid; and 'wobble' base-pairing, i.e. permitting non-standard base-pairing at the 3rd anti-codon position. RNAcentral also lists the same sequence under 1 other name. Lineage: Eukaryota; Metazoa; Chordata; Actinopteri; Salmoniformes; Salmonidae. The record is from Rfam by way of RNAcentral.